This 253-nucleotide ribosomal RNA is filed under the name uncultured bacterium. RNAcentral describes it as "partial 16S ribosomal RNA". It matches the Rfam family "Bacterial small subunit ribosomal RNA", at positions 524 to 776 of the family's 1533-position model. The record is from RNAcentral.
UACGUAGGGUGCGAGCGUUGUCCGGAAUUAUUGGGCGUAAAGAGCUCGUAGGCGGUUUGUUGCGUCGGCCGUGAAAACCUGCAGCUUAACUGUGGGCCUGCAGCCGAUACGGGCAGACUUGAGUUCGGUAGGGGAGACUGGAAUUCCUGGUGUAGCGGUGAAAUGCGCAGAUAUCAGGAGGAACACCGGUGGCGAAGGCGGGUCUCUGGGCCGAUACUGACGCUGAGGAGCGAAAGCGUGGGGAGCAAACAGG